This 1282-nucleotide long non-coding RNA is filed under the name Salmo salar (Atlantic salmon). RNAcentral's name for it is "lncRNA (ENSSSAG00000122254.1)". Lineage: Eukaryota; Metazoa; Chordata; Actinopteri; Salmoniformes; Salmonidae. The record is from RNAcentral.
AAAAUAUAUUUUGAUUUGUUUAACACUUUUUUGGUUACUACAUGAUUCCAUAUGUGUUAUUUCAUAGUUUUGAUGACUUCACUACUAUUCUACAAUGUAGAAAAUAGCUAAAAUAAAGAAAAACCCUGGAAUAAGUAGGUAUGUCCAAACUUUUGGCUGGUACUGUAUGUGUGUGUGUGUUUGCAAGAUGGACAUAUUCAAACAAGGAAGAUAGAAGUCCGUUGCUUGGACAGAUCAUGCAAUGUGAGACGGCAGGGAGAGCCAAACAAACAGGGCCUCCCGGGUCAAACUGCACAAGUCAAUGAAGGACCUUAGAGUUAACAUGUACUUUGCACUGUUGUAGGCUGGCUGAGGGGGGUGAAUGGCUGCUGUGAAGGGGAUGGCCUUAGCCUCUUAUCUGAGGGUAACGUUUAGGAAGAUAGAUUUUACUGGUUUCAAUUAUUAUAAAUAUGUGAAAUACACACUAAUAUCAUUCAUUCCCUGUAGUGCUGUAACAAUGUGGCAUUUUAGAUAUCAAUUCAAGUCCCAUUGGCCUAGUUCUUUCUUCAAGACCCAUAACAUGGAUAUUAUUAAUUUAAAAAUAAUGCUAUGUUUAUAAUUGAUCCUAUUUAUUGUAGCUAUUCACCAUUAAUGAGAAACAUGAAGGGAAGUUGGAAAUUAUCUAUAUAGUAUUAACUUUAGAAGGUCUUGCACAUCAACUAACAAUCACAUUCAAAUUUUGUUGAAGUAAUGAUGAAUUCAGCUACAUGUCAUAUUCAGAAUGUAAACUAUGGGUGAUUAAAUCAACAUUACAGUUAACACAGGUAGUCUUUAAUGUUCAGUGCAUUUAAGGAAAUGUUAGGCUACUCUUUUAUUCACACAGUUUUCUUCAUUCUCCGUUAUGACUAGAAGUACAGAAUUAAUUGUGAACGAUGUUCUCAUAGCCUACACUCUAAUGCUCAUGAGUUUGAUAGGCCUAUGGCCUUUUGUGGGCUUAUAACACUGAUAACUUGAGCCUAUAACAGUUUUAUAACACUUUUAAUGUUUCAAUUGCAUCCAGUGUUUUCAUUUCAAGGGCAUGGUAUAUGGUACCCUAGGCUAGUCUGUAGCCUAUUCUGGUAUCAUCAAAAAACAUGAAUUAAUGGGACCUUCUCAAUGUUCUGUUUGAAACGCCUUUCAGCACUGGGUUCCCCAAAUAUGCAUUGUAACUGCUUUAAGAGGGACUUUGUUGUUUAUGUGAGCAGACUAAACUGAAAAGGCUUCUUCUGAUGUGUUUUGCAAGAAUAAAAUUGUAAGAAAGUUA